UGGGGAAUCUUCCGCAAUGGACGAAAGUCUGACGGAGCAACGCCGCGUGAGUGAAGACGGCCUUCGGGUUGUAAAGCUCUGUGAUCCGGGACGAAAGAGCCUGAGGUGAAUAGCCUAAGGAAGUGACGGUACCGGAAAAGCAAGCCACGGCUAACUACGUGCCAGCAGCCGCGGUAAUACGUAGGUGGCAAGCGUUGUCCGGAAUUAUUGGGCGUAAAGCGCGCGCAGGCGGCUUCCUAAGUCCAUCUUAAAAGUGCGGGGCUUAACCCCGUGAUGGGAUGGAAACUGGGAAGCUGGAGUAUCGGAGAGGAAAGAGGAAUUCCUAGUGUAGCGGUGAAAUGCGUAGAGAUUAGGAAGAACACCGGUGGCGAAGGCGACUUUCUGGACGAAAACUGACGCUGAGGCGCGAAAGCGUGGGGAGCAAACAGG
RNAcentral lists this ribosomal RNA (429 nucleotides) under Fusobacteriota bacterium. RNAcentral's name for it is "Fusobacteria bacterium partial 16S ribosomal RNA". It matches the Rfam family "Bacterial small subunit ribosomal RNA", at positions 355 to 776 of the family's 1533-position model. The record is from RNAcentral. Lineage: Bacteria; Fusobacteriati; Fusobacteriota.